RNAcentral lists this ribosomal RNA (421 nucleotides) under uncultured bacterium. Its description in RNAcentral is "bacterial SSU rRNA". It matches the Rfam family "Bacterial small subunit ribosomal RNA", at positions 355 to 774 of the family's 1533-position model. The record is from RNAcentral.
UGAGGAAUAUUGGUCAAUGGCCGAGAGGCUGAACCAGCCAAGUCGCGUGAGGGAUGACGGCCCUAUGGGUUGUAAACCUCUUUUGUCAGGGAGCAAAGAGCGCUACGUGUAGCGCCUCGAGAGUACCUGAAGAAAAAGCAUCGGCUAACUCCGUGCCAGCAGCCGCGGUAAUACGGAGGAUGCGAGCGUUAUCCGGAUUUAUUGGGUUUAAAGGGUGCGCAGGCGGACUGUCAAGUCAGCGGUAAAAUUGCGGGGCUCAACCCCGUCGAGCCGUUGAAACUGGCGGUCUUGAGUGAGCGAGAAGUAUGCGGAAUGCGUGGUGUAGCGGUGAAAUGCAUAGAUAUCACGCAGAACUCCGAUUGCGAAGGCAGCAUACCGGCGCUCAACUGACGCUCAUGCACGAAAGCGUGGGUAUCGAACA